UGGUCAAUGAUGACUAGCCCACUGCGCAAUCUGAGUUCCAGAGUGAACCUUUAUGACUGAAUUAGUGCUGGAAAAAGUCUGAGACCC
Non-coding RNA from Carcharodon carcharias (great white shark), 87 nucleotides. RefSeq annotates it as small Cajal body-specific RNA 18. The transcript has a single exon. NCBI's taxonomy places the organism in Eukaryota, Metazoa, Chordata, Chondrichthyes, Lamniformes, Lamnidae. The record is from RefSeq and is a predicted model, not a curated record.